UUCGCAAUGCCCGAAAGGGUGACGAAGCGACGCCGCGUGGGUGAGGAAGGCCCUCGGGUUGUAAAGCCCUGUCAGGGGUUAAGAAAUGUAGACUCGCUAAUAUCGGGUCUAUUUGACAAAGGCUCCAAAGGAAGCCACGGCUAACUCUGUGCCAGCAGCCGCGGUAAUACAGAGGUGGCAAGCGUUGUUCGGAAUUAUUGGGCGUAAAGAGCACGUAGGUGGAUUUGUAAGUCAGACGUGAAAGCCUUCUGUUCAACGGAAGAAUUGCAUCUGAAACUACAAACCUUGAGUGUAGGAGGGGGAAAUGGAACUUCUGGUGGAGCGGUGAAAUGCGUAGAUAUCAGAAGGAACGCCGGCGGCGAAAGCGAUUCUCUGGCCUAUUACUGACACUCAGUGUGCGAAAGCUAGGGGAGCAAACGGGAUUAGAUACCCCGGUAGUCCUAGCCGUAAACGAUGGGCACUAAGUAGAGGGGUUUU
RNAcentral lists this ribosomal RNA (477 nucleotides) under uncultured Planctomycetales bacterium. Its description in RNAcentral is "bacterial SSU rRNA". It matches the Rfam family "Bacterial small subunit ribosomal RNA", at positions 365 to 832 of the family's 1533-position model. Lineage: Bacteria; Pseudomonadati; Planctomycetota; Planctomycetia; Planctomycetales. The record is from RNAcentral.